Carassius auratus (goldfish) is the source of this 225-nucleotide long non-coding RNA. RefSeq lists it as uncharacterized. The transcript is spliced from 3 exons. NCBI's taxonomy places the organism in Eukaryota, Metazoa, Chordata, Actinopteri, Cypriniformes, Cyprinidae. The record is from RefSeq and is a predicted model, not a curated record.
CCUUGUUGUCCGUGCUUUGUGACGCACCAAUUCCGUGUAUUUUUCCAGCAAGGAAAAUUGUGAUGUUGCAGUAAAGCCAGGAGAGUGUCCACCCCAAACACCUGGAAGCUCCUGUACCAGGUUAUGUGACUGUGACUCUAGCUGUCCUGACAAUGAGAAGUGUUGCAGCAAUGGAUGUGGACGUUCCUGUACAUCUCCUUAUACAGUGAAGCCGGGUCAAUGUCC